AGGCUUUGGAGAGGCGGCCUCCUCUUGUGGCAGGAGAAUGCUCUGCUGCCUUCAGCAGCAAGGCGAGAGCUGCCUUGGAAGCCUCCCAAUGGGUCUGUGUUACAUUGCAGAGACUGCCUACGAUAGAUCUCUCCAUCUCCGGCACACCUGCUGCCCUGGGGACCCGGCCUAGCCCUCUGCAUGUGUUCCCGAGGUGAGUGCCUUUCCUUUGCAGCCCUUGGCUAACCGAGCAGGCGGCUUCCCGGCUGCUGCUCGGCACCGUGCACCGCCAGGGCUUGACACUCAGCAUGGAGUUGGGAAUAACUCACACAGUGACUGGUUCCCGCUUCACUAAAGCUCACUUUGGGCUUCUCACACGUGUCUUUGCCUGGAGUGAGCGGGAACCGUGACUGCGUUUCUCAUGCCCAGCCUGCCCUCCUUCCCAUCAGAGAGCAGGGACUGCACACAGAGAGGCAUUUAGGCUACGCCUUCUGUCUUUUGGGGGAGAGUGCCAAAAACCAGCUCCCAAAGAGCUGUGCACGGACACAGAGGAGGGGGGAUGCAAGAAGGACUCCGGCAGCAGUGAGGAGGAUCCGUGUCCGCAAGCUGCAAAGGGGAGACAAUGCCCUUCCUUCAAAGCUGGCUUGUCUUUUGGUUUCCAGGUUUCAGCUUGCUGUGCAAGGCAGCGUGGAGGCCCAGGCUGCCCCCACCGGCUGCCCACAGGGGAAGGAGCAGGAGCUGGAAGAAGAGCUUGGGGCCGUCAGGAGCAGCAAAGAGAGGCGUCCUGGCAAGCUCCUGCCGCACCGCGAGGAGCUUUCUCUCCCCGUGCUGCCAAAGUGGGGGGAAGGCGCGAGGCGGCAAGGCAUGGAGAGCAAGCCUGCUGCCAGGACCCUUGUGAACCAGACGGCCCCCAUCCCGGGCACCUCCCCGGGGAAGCAGGUUGGCGUGCAACAC
Long non-coding RNA from Dromaius novaehollandiae (emu), 933 nucleotides. RefSeq lists it as uncharacterized. The transcript has 3 exons. The record is from RefSeq and is a predicted model, not a curated record. NCBI's taxonomy places the organism in Eukaryota, Metazoa, Chordata, Aves, Casuariiformes, Dromaiidae.